AUGCUUGCUUUGGCAGCACAUAUAAAAAAAAAUUGUAACAAUACAGAGAUCAAUGUGGCCCCUACUCAAGGAUGACAAAUUUGUGAAGGGUUCCAUAUUUUA
This is a small nuclear RNA of Zalophus californianus (California sea lion), 102 nucleotides long. The record is from Ensembl. NCBI's taxonomy places the organism in Eukaryota, Metazoa, Chordata, Mammalia, Carnivora, Otariidae.